GAAUUUUGGACAAUGGGCGCAAGCCUGAUCCAGCAAUGCCGCGUGAGUGAAGAAGGCCUUCGGGUUGUUAAGCUCUUUUGUCAGGGAAGAAACGGUGGGAGCUAAUAUCUCCCGCUAAUGACGGUACCUGAAGAAUAAGCACCGGCUACCUACGUGCCAGCAGCCGCGGUAAUACGUAGGGUGCAAGCGUUAAUCGGAAUUACUGGGCGUAAAGCGUGCGCAGGCGGUUUUGUAAGUCUGAUGUGAAAUCCCCGGGCUCAACCUGGGAAUUGCAUUGGAGACUGCAAGGCUAGAAUCUGGCAGAGGGGGGUAGAAUUCCACGUGUAGCAGUGAAAUGCGUAGAGAUGUGGAGGAACACCGAUGGCGAAGGCAGCCCCCUGGGUCAAGAUUGACGCUCAUGCACGAAAGCGUGGGGAGCAAACAG
This 424-nucleotide ribosomal RNA is filed under the name uncultured bacterium. RNAcentral describes it as "bacterial SSU rRNA". It matches the Rfam family "Bacterial small subunit ribosomal RNA", at positions 359 to 775 of the family's 1533-position model. The record is from RNAcentral.